Manis javanica (Malayan pangolin) is the source of this 1643-nucleotide non-coding RNA. Lineage: Eukaryota; Metazoa; Chordata; Mammalia; Pholidota; Manidae. The record is from RefSeq and is a predicted model, not a curated record.
GCUACACGGUGUUUCGGGGCCUCGUUCACAAGGCCCUGCUCUGUGCCUUCUUUCAGGGUCUCCUGCACAGGCUCUGCCCGCUUUUUCAGCCCCAGACCAGCUCACAUUCAGAUCACCGAGCACAAAUGCCACAGAUGAAGGCUUUCCUGGCUCACCUCUUGAUGCAGGAAAAAACCUGAGACCAGUUUGGGCUGACGCAGGACAUCCUGCCUCAUGAAUUCAUCCCAUUCCUUCAGGGGUUUAUGUCAGCUUAUAUCAAUACAUAUCCCCAAAAGAGAAAGAAGAAAUGGGCAGAAUGCCUGACUCAGAGAGGAACAACAUCCGACCCUGUGGGAACAUAACAAGAGGUGGCGUGCUAGCCCCUUGGUGUUCCAGAUGCCUGUGACCUUCAGUGUUCACGGUUAUAGAGUAAGAGCAGCUGCCUCUCACAACAAGAAUCCUGGAACAUUAUGACUGGCUCAGCUUGGGAAAAGGGCCCAUUCCUGAUUUAAUCACUGCACCCAGAGAGAUGGGGGUGGCUCUGUGGGUCACCUCGCCUAAGCCAUCCACUCCUUCAGCAGGAAGAUGGUAUCAUUCCACCUGCACUACAAGGUCUCAGGAGGCUUCCAUGGAAUGGUGGGGGGGUCAGUCCCCCGAAGAAGGGGUGCUGGACAGACUAGAAAAAUCAUACCUGCUACAGCUAGUCAUUGACAGAAGUGGAUCAGGAGGUCAGCAGUAAUCUGGACUUAAAGAAAAUGGCCGAUGGGCAAACUGAAAAAUGCGCAUUUGGGAUAAGGAACUAACGUCUGGAGUUUCAUCUGAACCUUUGAAGUGUAAAGGAGGACAAAUUAUAAAGCAAAACAAAACAAAAACACUGGUUUGUGUUUUCAUGAGAAAAAAAGAGGCCUCCUGAGAUGCGUAUCUCUUUUGCUGACAGUCCCAGCUGGAAUAAGGAAAUUUAACAAGUGCAUUUUAACAAGUGAAAACUUUUUUUUCGUUUUCUGGAAACUUGUAAACCUCAAAAACAAUUCUGUUAUUAUCUUCUCCAUUUUUAUUCAGUCAGGUCUACUUAAAAGUCCUUGUACUUUAGUCGAGUUAAGCGGUAAGAACAAAGGCUGUAGUGGGAAAUUGUCUGUUGCAAUGUAUUAAAGAGCUAAUACAUGAAUGCAUUUCACUUGGGCAUAGCCCCAUCACAGUCCAUGUGAGGGAAUAGAAGCAAUAAGAUGUUUUGUUUUUUAAAUCAGCCAUCAUUAAAUUUUUCUAGCAUGUUUCGCUUUGUCCUAGAUCAGUGGUUCUCCAGCUGUACCACGCACCAGAUUCACGUGGAAGGCUUGUUAAAACCCAGGUGGCUCAGUCUCCUCGCCAGUUUCUGAUUCAGCAGGUCUAUGGUGGGCCCAAAUGUGUGCGAUUCUUGCCAGUUUCCAUGUGAUGUUGAUGCUGCCCAUCUUGGGCCGCACUUGGAGAACCACUCAUCUUGGUGAAUCUCUGCGCUCAGCUCUGGAUGAGUCUUCAUGAGCCACAGAUCCAGCCGAGAGGUGGGUUGAGGCUGCCCUGCGGGGUACCAGUAACCAGAUUUUCUAGCAGUAGGGAUAGUCUGAAUUCCAGGAGGGGAGGUUAUGGGUGAACGCAGGACUCCAGCUCAUACGUGGGUAAAACAGCUGGGU